AGGUUAAGAAAGUGUAAAAACAUCAAAACAAAUGACCAAAAGGCCCCUGAAAUAACAUAAAAAUCGUCCAAGCAAAACACGCGGAGUGACCUAGCAUAGUCGCUCCAGGAGGUCACUCCCGACGCGUUUCUUUGUGUCUCGACCCGUCAAAACGCGAGUGACUUGAGCUGGUCUCUCUGGCUGGUCGCUCUGGCUGGGAGUGACUUGAGCUAGUCGCUCUGGCUGGGAGCGACCUCGGUAGGUCGCUCUGAGAGGUCACUCUGCGAUGCUCGACCAGGAUGGAUAUGCCUCUAGUAAAUUGAUCAUAACUCCUUCAUUACAUCUCCAAAUGACUUGAAACCACUU
RNAcentral lists this long non-coding RNA (345 nucleotides) under Brassica napus (rape). RNAcentral's name for it is "long non-coding RNA (BNAP_LNC010766)". Lineage: Eukaryota; Viridiplantae; Streptophyta; Magnoliopsida; Brassicales; Brassicaceae. The record is from RNAcentral.